ACGGGAAAACACAACCAAACAGGUGAAGGAAUUCAACAAAACCAUCAAGAAUCUAAAAAUGGAAAUAGGAACAAUAAUGAAGAACAGCCAUUUCAAUUGAUAUGUAUCCCCAAGAUUGCUGAAACACUGGAAUACCAAACAGCCAGCAUACACCAGCUGAUAUGAGGCCCCCAACACAUAUAUAGUAGAGAACUUCUGGGUCUGUGUUUAUUCAGAGAUGAUGCACCUAACUCUGAAGAGACUGGAAGCCUCAGAGGGUUUAGAGGUCAGGUGGGGUGGGAGUGGGGGCAUCUACGUGGAAACAGGGUGGGGUGGGAAGGAGGUGUGGGAUGUGGAGCAGUCGAAGGGUGAAUUGGGGGCAAGGAAUGGAAUAUGGAGUGUAAAAAAUAAAUUAAAAAUGAAGAAGCUAAUAAUAGAAAACAAAAUACAUGAAAAAUAUAUGGACUCAAAAACAAAGAAUUUUUCUAAUCUAAAGAAAAUGCGGGGACAAAAAGUAGAGCAGAGCCUGAAGGAAAGACCAUCCAGAGACUGCCCCACAUUGUGAUCCAUCCCAUGUACAGACACCAAACCCUGACACUAUUGCUGAUGACAAGAUGUCCUUGCUGACAGGAGCCUGGCAUUGCUGUUCUCUGAGAAUCUCUGCCAGUACCUGACUAAGACAGAGGCAGAUACUUACAGCUAACCAGUGAACUGAGCCUGGGGACCCUAAUGGAAGAGUUAGAGGAAGGACUGAAGGAAUGAAGGGGGUUGCAACCCCAUAGGUAGAACAACAGUAUCAACUAACUGGACCUCUGAGGGCUCCAAGGGAGUAAGCCACCAAUUAAAGAGCAUGCAUGGGUUGGUCCGUGGUCCCUGCUAUGUAUGUAGCAAAGGAGUGACUGCCUUGUCUGGCCUCAGUGGGAGAGUAUGCACUUGGUCUUGUGGAAACUUGAUGUCCCAGAGAAAGGGGAUGCUGGGGGGUAAGGUGGGAGUGGGUGAGGUGGGUGUGCAUGGGUAGUGGGGGAGUACCCUCUGAGAGGCAAAUGGGAGGGAGGGAAGAGAUGGGGGAUUGAUAGAAGGGACACCCAGGAAGGGGGACAUCAUUUGAAAUGUAAAUAAAAUAAUUAAUAAAAAUUAUUGAUAAAAAACAAAUGGAGACAACCCUGGAGAUAGAAAAUCUAGGAAAGAGAUCAGGAGUCAUAGGUGCAAACAUCAGCAACAGAAUACAAGAGAUAGAAGAGAGAAUCUCAGUUGCAGAAGACACCAUAGAAAAUAUUGACACAACAGUCAAAGAAAAUGCAAAAAGCACAAAGUUUCUAACACAAAAUAAUCAGAAAAUCCAGGACACAAUAAGAAGACAAAACCUAAGGAUUAUAGGUAUAGAAGAGCAAGGAGCUAUUAUAAAUAAGAAAUAAAUUCUAUUGGCUGAGAUUUCAUGUUCUCAAAGUAAAGUCUGAGUGUUUAGUUGGUUUGUGAUGGUAAACCAAAAUACCAUAUAUGAGAUGGUUUGAUCUAUGAACACACUUUUAUGGGUCAUAGUUUUGGAGGCUAACAGCCUAUUUGAAUGCCAACAUAUUCAAGAAAUAGUGAUGACUUCUUUCCUUAUCACAGAUGAGUAUUUUCUGACUUCUCCUCUUUCCCAAACUAGAGAGAACUACAUAUCUUUCCUCUCUCCUCAUGAGAAUACACUACCUCUCAUCCUAUCACAGCAUCCUAACUCCCUUGAAAUUGUCCAAUCUUAAUUGACUCAUCACUUUGGGGGAGGGGGAUGAUGCUUCAACAUAAUUGAUUUUGAAUUUUAGGGACAUGAAUAUUUAGCCUAUAACAAUGACAGGUUGUGUCAAGACAGACCUUUGUACACAUAUGUCUCAGCCUAUUUAGUUUUCAAGAUGAUUUUGUUCCCUUUUUUCCUAUUGCUUUUGUACAAUUAACAGAAUUAUUGGAAAGUCAUUAUAUGCUGUUAACUUUUUAAUAUAUUGGUGUCGUGGAUUAUCCUUUCUUGCUUUUUAUCUUAUGCUUUUUAUAUAGCAUCCUCCCUGGGUUUACUUCUUGUUUUGUUUUGGUAGUUUAAAAAUAAUUUCAUAUAUUAGAAGAAAUUUUUGGUAUAGGAGUUAGGGCACCUUAUCUGUGCUCAAUUCUUGGUUCCUAUGUGAACUUGGGCAUAUUCUUUUAACUUUGUAUAAAUUAAUGGUCCUGUCUUUAAAAUAAAUUAAUGCAGUAUUUUUAAAAGCAUUCAAUUUAUUGGAAAAUUGAUUUUUCUACCUUUUUCAUCUUUAUGUUUCUCUUAAUGAUAUAUUUGUCAAUAUCAGAACAAGAAAUUUAUAAAUAUGAUUCACUAAAUGAUAGAUGUUACCCCACAUUUUACUAUGCACUUUUGAUGGUAGUCUAUUAGAAUGCGGACCCUUCCUUUACAUCAUGAUCCAGACAACUCUGAGAAUUUUCCCACCUUUUCUUCUGUGAUCUAAAUUCAGCAGAUUGUCUUUCAAAUGGGUUCAUUUCACUUGCCAGCUCCAGUCAAUUUGUACACAACAGUAGUCUGUGUUCUGAACCAUUGUGGGGACUUUUUAUUUUUCUAAUAUGUACUUAGAAAUCUCAGAGUGAGCAUCUACUUCUGUAUGUGCCAGGCACUGGCAUAGCCUCACAAGAGACUGCUAUAUCAGAGUCCUGUCAACAAAAUCUUGCUGGCAUAUGCAAUAGUGUCUGGGUUUGGUGGUUGUUUAUGGGAUGGAUUCUCCCAGGUGGAACAGUCUCUGGAUGGUCCUUCCUUCUGUCUCAGCUGUCUCUUGUGAGGCUAUGCCAGUGCCUGGCAAAUACAGAAGUGGAUGCUUACAGUCAUCUAUUGGAUGGAACACAGGGCCCCCAAUGAAAGAGCUAGAGAAAAUACCCAAGGAGCUAAAGGAGUCUGCAACCCUAUAGGAGGAACAAAAAUAUGAACUAACCAGUAACCCCCAGAGCUUAAGUCUCUAGUUACAUAGGUAGCAGAGGAUGGCCUAGUAGGCCAUCAAUCAGAGGAGAGGCCCUUGGUCUUACAAAGAUUAUAUGCCCCAGUACAGGGGAAUGCCAGGGCCAGGAAUCGGGAGUGAGUGGGUAGGGGAACAGGGCAGGGGGAGGGUAUAGGGGACUUUUGGGAUAGCAUUUGAAAUGUAAAUGAAGAAAAUAUCUAAUAAAAAAAGAAAUCUCAGAGUGACCCAUAUGUUAUGGAUUUGUUAUUCCAGAUAUGGAUAGUGAGAUUUUCCAGUCAUCUUCUGCUACCCUUAUGAUUGACUCACUGGGGACUGUGGAACAGAUGUUGCCCUAUAAUCAGCAGGCCUUCUAAAACUACUUGGACAUCUUUGUUCUUAAUCAUCAGGACCAGCUGAGAGAAAGUGCACAAAUACUACAGAGCUGCUUCUUAUGAUCUAGGACAAGAAUGUAGUUAUAUAUGUAUUCCUAUGAAACGGUACAAUAUGACGUGAUGUGAUCAAUGAAGGUAUUUAGGCCAAGAAGAACUUGGAGACCCCAGGAAAAUUAAAUUAUCCACCAUUACUUUUGUGUAUCUUGCAUAGCAGAUAUUUUUAGCAAGAACUCUAUGUCAUUUCUAGUUCAUCUGAAAAAUCUUAUAAUGGGAGUGCUUAAAGGCUUAACCACUUUUCUAAUGCUUAUAUGACAAGAAGUGCCCCUUUAAAAUAUAUGUAUGGACAUUCUUAAACAUAAUAGACAGAAAUAUAUAAUCAGUUUUUAGUCUUGAGUAUUUGGGAUUCUUCACUCAUGAUUACUUCUAACAAUGAAUGACAAUCAAUAAACAGAAGCUGUUAAUGAGACUUUAAUGGAUGAAUAAAUAGCACCCUUUUAUUCCUCCUUUUAGUCCUGAACAAAAUGAUAGACAAUAUUAAGUUACAUGGAAAUGAAAUUAGCACCACAGUUUCAUAUUCCUAAUAAUAUAAUGUGGAGAAUAUGGCUGAGGUCUGUGCCUAAGAAAAUAAUAUAUGAACUUUUCAAGGAAAUAUUUCGAGAAUGGAAAACAGCUGAUCUGAACAUAACUAAUUUCUUCUGUAUAUAGUGUAUCUGAUAAUGAUGAAGGGGAGGAGCAAUGAGUGAUGAGAUUUUGAUUUGGUUUCUUCUUGAAGUUGACUUUGAGCGAAGAUUUGAGUGCAGAUGGUAGUUUGAGAGAUUCUGAGAAUUUGGGGAAUUAUUUUGUCUUGUUUGGGAGUUUUGGUAAUCUGGUAAUUUGGGAGAUGAUUUCAGCAGGAGCAUUCUGUUCUCCAACUUGUAGAUAAGAUGUAAGCUCUCAGUUACUGCCCUAACCCCAUGCCUCCCUGCCUGCUGCCAUUCUCAUUAUGAUGAUUGUGGAUUUACCCCAUUGAAAUUGUAAGCAAACCCUCAAUUAAAUGCAUUCUUUUAUAAAUUUCCCUGGUCAUGGUGUUUCUUCACAGAUAGAAAAGUAACUAAGACAGCCAUUAAUGACGUAGGGAAAUGAUGCAGGAAAGAAUGGAAUCUCACUCAAUGCACAGUAACUAAUGAGCAGGUUUCAGCUGUAGAUAACUAGCACUAAAACAUCAUGGGGACUCUAGUGAGGAGUACACCUUAGAUUUGGAAAACUGGAGUUGUUGGUUAUUCAUUAAUUCCUACCAGUUCUUAGUUAAGAUCCUCACCUAGGAAUAUCAACUCCUUGGCAAUGAUUGGGUCUAGCCUUCUGCCUAGGCUACACUUGAUUUUAGGUGACAGAUUUAAUCCUGCAGGCAGAAAUUAUAAGUGCUUACAGUAAAGAUAUGCCUUUGUCCCAGAAGUAAUAGUGAUUAUUGAGGGAUGCAAAUUGUAAAACAUUUCAUCUUUGACCCGAAAUAAAACCAGAAAUCACCCAUCAAAUUUUGUGAGAUUAACUAAGACUUUCCUUGUCGAACCCUUCUACAUUCUUUCCCAAAAGGAAUCCAAUACGACUCAGUGAACAAUUUAUUUCUUAUGUCAUAUAAAAGAAAUACAAAUAUAAUGUUUUCUUGUUUAUGUUUAUAAGUGGAAAGUGAUAGUCCAAGAGGAGGUCAGAACCACUAGUAAGAUCUUGACUUUUAGAAACCUUUAGAAAUCAUCUGUGCCUUUGAGUGAUGUCAUUGUGUUCCCCUGCCCCUUUUUGGUAAAGAAACUCACAGCCAUUAGGGUAUCUUGAAUCCAGGAUGCCCUAGUUAGUUUUGCUGUCUCAGGAAACAGAGUUAGAGUCUCUCUGAAAAGGGAAGUGUUCAUCUUUAAGAAAUGAAGAUCCAGGAACUUGGCUUAGUGUUGUGUGGCAGGCAGGUAGCUAUAAAAUGACUGUGAUUAGAAAAUUCAUAAAAUAGAAUGGAGCUGAAAGGCAUGGAUGAGUACUUGUGUGAAAAAAUAUGGCAACUCUGAAGCAGAGUGGAGAGAGCCAUCUGGUCUGGUGUCCAUUUUUCUAGCUCUUAGCACUUGGCUGAUUGGUGUUCAAGGGCUCAGUAGGAGGUGAGGGUGGAGAGCUCUCUCAGGAGGCAGAUUCUCUAAGAGAACUGAUUGAUUUCUAAUUAGUGAAUAGAAUUUGUCAAAGACAUAGAGAAAAUUUCCAUGGCUCUUUGUAAUUUCUUUAUUUUUAAGACUUGGGAGAAGAGAAAUGAUCUCAGUGGUGGCCCGGCUCUCAUUAAUGAUGCUUUUGCUCACCUGACUGAAGCUCUGUACAAAUAAAACAAACAGGAGGAUAGCAGUCAAGGCCCAUGUUCACGGUUGAUCUGGCUAAAAUUCUGUGGGGAAGACAUAUCAUUUCCAUUACGUUAUUUCUUCCUGGAUUCUUAUCUUUGCACUAGACCAAGAACAGGCUGCUGAUUUCUUUCAAUCAUUAAGGGAUGGCAAAAUUGUUCAAAUAAUAUCCUUAUUAGUAGUGAAUUUUAAAUAUUCCCUUUUCCAUGUGUAACUUUGUUUUUCCUUCUUUUUGCCUUGUUUGUUGUAAUUCUAGACAAUUUAAUUCUUCAGAUUUUCACAGAUCUAACAGUAUCCCUACUAUAAUUGGGGUGUGUAAAUAGUAGAAGCCUUUUUCUGCUCAGGUGCAAGAGAACAAAAUCAUAAAAAGGUCCUGUUCCUAAAAGGGAAAUGACGCUGUCUGGUUGCAAAUGUCUCUGAGAUGUAAUGAAAAGGUAGUUUCUGUUUACUGCUGCGGCUUUGAAUGAGCUGGUUUUGUUAGGGACUUGUUUUCUCUUUGUACAAGAACAGCACAAGAACAAAAAGCUGGCUUUGAGGAAAUGUCAAGGACAAGCACUGGAUGCAGCCAGAGUGAGACUCAGACUGUCCUCUUCCAGAUUCAUGCUCAGAGCUCUUUUUUGUUUCUGUGUUUGUUUGUUCUGGAUGAAGUUGAAGAAUGAUAUACACAAACUCCAUGGGGACUUUAGUGGAAAGCUCAACAGAACCUAGAGACUUUAACUCUGACAUCUCUCUUGUUACACGGACCUGUGACACUAAACAUGCUCGCCCAAUGGAAUAGCUUAAAGUACAUUAAGUGUUUGUGUGUUUCUAGGGGCUUCAUACUUUAAUUCACAUACAUUUUUUUCUUUGGAAUGGUUAGCUGGCUUUAUGAUGAAUACAUCUUCAGAGCCCAACUCUCUAAAGUCAGAUUGGUCUCUCAUUUGAAGAGUGACCUUUAACAUCUCCAUGGUUCAUUCCAUUUCUGUCUCCCAUGUGGAUCCCACCACUCUUGUUUAGCAUGGCAAAAGGAAAAUGAUUGUGAAAAGUUCAAAACGUAAAUUGCCAUGGAAACGUUAUGACAUCGAUAAAUUAUGUAUCCCCAGCAGAAGAUGAAGAAGACAGAUUAACAAGAUAAAACACUCCAUUCAUCUACCUUGCAUUAAUCAAUCUCUGUCAUCAUAAAUAGAAUGGCUUAAAAAGAAUUAUAGGUAUGUAGUCAUAAUUUGUCUAGGCUAGUAUUUUUUUAUGUCAGCAUGAACAAAAUGCUCCUUCUCUGGGGAUAUAUGAGAAUACUAGUCUCCAAAAGUCAGAAGCUGUUUGCCUAAGAAUCUAGGAUGUCAUCAGUCUUUCUUCCACUCAUCCCAUUGGAAGUUGGAGGAACAUGUUAUGUCUGGCUGAGUUGGACAUUUACAUAUCCAUUAAGAUAUCCAGUCAUUCCCAAGUAAUUCCUGGAGCAACCAUUAUUCUAAGUGUCUCAGAAAGAAUGGAUACUAGGAAAAUGCAGUUCUUGGAUUUGUAUGUUUAUAGUAAUGGGUACAGGAGAAGGAAUACAGGUCAAUGGAUAGUUUCUUGUAGUGCAAUAUAAAAUAUAUGCUCUGGAGACCUAGAAUAUAAGAUGUCCCCACAUGUUGGAAGAAAGUCUAAAAGCAAAAAAUCAUGGUAGAUGAAAUGAAAAUUGACAAACACAAGGCAUACAUGCUAUACAGUAUACAUAGAAGGCCUCACAAUGUGUAUAGUUUGGUGAUAUUUGAAACGAGUGUAGACAUUCAUUUCAAUGUCCAUAAAACCAAGGUAUAUUUUUCUAAUAUAUUACAACAUGCUGUGAUGCCUUCAGUUCCAUCUCUUUGCAUAACUUUAACUGAGAUUAAGAAAUCUCAUUUCUUUCUAGAAUAAAGGAAGAUGAAUUCAGGACUUACAGUGGCUUCUUCUAUAGAAUGGACAGUCAUUUGGGGGCUCUUUUUAAGCUGAUGCUUCCAUUUCCUUUAGGGUUUUUUUUUGGAUCUUAAUUAUAGCCUAGAUUCAGGUUUGCUGAGAAUCCACAACCUUCUGUAAUCAGCCCCUCGAUUGCCACUGUGUAUGCACUAAUGCACCUACGUAUGAUACAUAUGUGUUUCAUUUACUCAUUCAUUCAUUCAUUCAUUCAUUCAUUUUGUGUAAUAUGUGUUAUUUGUGUAGUACAUGCACAAGAGUGUGCGGGUACACGUUUCUGUGCACAUGCAUGUAGAGAGCAGUCAAGACAACAGGUAUCUUCAUUGAUUGUCUUUAUUGUCUUAUAUCUGGGGACACUUUAUUGUCCCCAGAGAGACGCUUACUGAACUGGAAUCUGUUGGCUUUGGCUAGUCCAGUCUUCAGCAAGCUUGUGUAGUCUGCUGCCUCUCUCCAUGUACAGCAAUGCCUGACUUUGUAUACAGGGUCUGGGGAUUCAAGCUCAGGUCCUUGCACUUUUAUAGCAAGUCCUCUUCUGACAGAGUCAUCUCACAACCUUUGAUUUAUUUCAUUUUAAUUUGUAAUAAGGGCCUUAUUCCAUAUUCUGAGAGUUUAGUUUCCUUCUUAUCUUCUUAAAUGUACUCUUUUAUUUUUAUGCAGCAAAACUUGCCAGUCUUGCAGGGUGCUGCUGGUAAUUUUUUUUUAAAUCUCAUCAUGAAUGAGAGCCCUGGGCAGUAAGUUGCUUAGGGCCAUUCUGACCUUGACUUUGACUCUUAAAUUCCAAAGAACAUUCCCAACAGAUGAUACCCUUAGGCAAAUGCAGGAAGAUGUGUGGUUUGUAGCUUGAUCUUGUCUUUAUACACUCUGAAUGAAUGAGCUGCUAGUUUAGAAUAACUCCUUUGAGAAACUUGGCAACCAUAGUCUACCCUGAGCUGUCUAUAGGGCAUCUUAAACAUCUUCUAGAUUCCAUGAUAAGUCAAGAAGUUAAUAGUGUAAGAGCUUUGUAUGUAAUAACUCAAUUUUUAAAACCCAGUCUUCCUGGGCUACAUUAGUUGUCUAUGUGUAUGCUAAUUAACAUAUGUGGAUACCAAAUACCUAGUAGUAUAUUCAUAAUAUUUUGUUCCACUUAAAUAAGAUAUCCCAAUAUAAUCUUCAGGAACAUGGUUUGAGAGCUGUAUUUUAUCAUUUUAUUGAGGAAGAACAUGGAAUUCAAAGUACAUAUAGGAUAUAUCUAACACCUCAUUGCUAGCAGUGUUAUACCACUACAGGAAUAACUUGCUAUUAUUCUACCUUGCUAGUCUGAUAGGCAUAAGUCCUAACAUUCACUGGACUGUGGUAUUGGCAUAAAGUUCUGAAGCAGUGUUUUUCUAUUAGAUGUCUGUGAUAAUCAGAACCUGUGUUUUACUCUGACUUUUGGAUGGGCUGGUACUGCAUCAAUAAAGUGAAGUGAUGAAGUCUCCAUUGGUAUGUCACUCAGUGCCAAGGCCAGGGCAUUGUCUUACUUCAGCAGUCAUAGCCCCCCUUCUCUGCAUUUAGAACAGUUCUCAAAUAGGAGAGGCACAGACCCUAACAUAAUUACCACUUGCUUCAAUCUGGGUCUGUUUCCAUCUCUUCUACACCUACUCACAAGCCUCUUGCUCUGUGUGAGAGCUGUGGUAGGAGCUUUGGCAGUACUAAUUGUUAUCUCUAGGCUCCAGGGACCAGGGAAACAGGACAAAAAAAAUUCUUCUUAUUCAAGGCUAUUGCAUCUUUAAUUUGCAGAAAAGCCAUUUUAAGACAAUUAGAAACUCAGAAAUGCAAGCAAACCUAGCUAUUCAUUUUUUUCUGCACUGAGAUUCCUGGAAUAGCAUGCAGCAUGGCUUAGAAGAUACAGGUUCAAAUUUAGUUCCUGCUAUGUAUUUCUCCAAGACUAAGUUUCAUCCUGUAUAAGAUGGAGAUAAUAACGGAUAAUAAUACUUAGUCCUGAUUCAUACUGUAAUUGCAAUGAUUAAAUGAGAAAACUGAUGUACCAUGUUACAUAUGAUUCCAAGGAACACUCCAUUGCAGAAUUUAAAAUAAAGCAAUUGCUUCCACAAAAGGGAGAUUUUCUGAAUAGUUUGUUACUAAUCCUACACUUCAGAAGCAAUAGCACUUCAGAAUCCAGCAGCAGGCCAAAGUGACUCACCAGCAAAGUAGAAUAAUGCCUAUGUGGUUUUAGUUGGAGAAGUCAGAACUCUGAAGAAAGGAUUAGUUCCUGCAGCACACAGUGACUCUGGUCAUGGUGACUUGAAGUAGCAAUAAUGCCAGGUAUGAGUAGUUAUUUCACAGCAUAGAGCUAUAGGAUUGAAGGUUUGUUAGUCAGGCCUUGCUUCUCCUUUUACAGAAAGUAAAGCUUCAAGAUCCAUGGAAGGAACUUUUCCUGUCUUCUAGGUGAUAUCAAUAUUGAAUACUAAAAAUGAGACUACAAAAAAGAUCUCUUAUGCAAAAACAGUGUUCUCAUUUGACAUACUUACUGGAUGGCAUAUAUAUUUGUCUAUCUGUCUGUCUGUCUGUCUAUCUGUUUGUAAAUGUGACAAUUAAGAACACACACACUUCCACACCACAGACAUAUCUCUAUUGCCAUUUUGGCAAAAGGAGUUAUUUCUUUGGCCUCUAUGUGCAUUUUAUUUUGCCUACCAAAGCAAAUUUAUUAAAUCCAAGUCUCUGAUGACUUUCUCAUCAGAUUUUGACAUUUAAUAAAUGUUCAGGUUUUACAUUUUACAAAGGAGCGAUUCCAACGUGCUCAAAAGAUACACAACUCACUAAUAAGAACUGUUUAAUAAUGAACACACACACGAAACAGUUCGGGGAUGACCUAAAUCAGAGAACCAAACACAACCCUAUCCUUACCCUCUAGAAUCAUGCUCAGUGGUAUGCCCUCUAUCCAAAUAUAGCCUCUAGGUUCAUGCUCAUCGAAGCACAGGAAUAGGGCUGCAAAUGCAAGGGCCAUACAAGCUGCUUCUUCCACUCAGAGUUCUGUUGAUGUCAGAAGUGCAGAGCCUAGACACUAGGUAUUUUGAAUCAGCUUCUGUUCUCUCUAUCAAGGCUGAAUUGCUUCAACUCCAGCUGCAGCAGGCAUCUCUAGCUCCCUGUUCCCUUUCCAGCCCACAGUCUUACUAACAGUUUAUAUCUGCUUUGUUUAUUAGUGAGGAAGGAGGGGGGUGCUUGCAAAGAGGUGCCCAAGGUAGGUCAAAAUGUCUUUCUAUCAGAGGCCAUCUUAAUGGGGCUCUACUGGGAAGUGGGGAGAGGUCAGAAAACUCUGUUAUCCCCCAUUCCUUUAGGUAAAAUAGGCUAAGUUGUUUCCCAAGGCUUAUCCUGUGCUUCACUGACUGGACAGUAUUCCUUGGGGAAGCAGAAAUUAACUCUACUGUCCUAUCCAACUUGAAUGCUAAGUAAAUGAAAUGGAGAGCUGAGCAGCCCCUUGGUUACAGAGCACCACAGCCAGGCAGGUGCCUAUUUUUAGAAGAGAAAGAGUGGGGAAAAAGUCAGGUUUAUUCUUUGGGGAUGGGCAGGUAGAAUAACAAUCUGCUAACGUUUAACAUUCAAGAUUUUUUAGAUAGUCUAAAAAUGUGAUUUUUUUUUUUGCCUACUUUGGUGCAAUGCUGUCAUCGUAAUUGCACAUUCCUGGACAACCAGCACAUGAACACCAGGAAAAGGAGACAUGCAAUCUUUGCCUUAGAAUUGAGGGUUAUGGGAUCAUGGUAUAAAAAUUGCCUAGGUGUUUGAACUAGGGGUAAAACAGGUGGCUUGAGAGCCAGAAAUAUUGAAACUUCAGGUCUCAGCUCAAAAAUCAUCUUUAGUGAAUUCUGCUUUAUCAUGUCUUUCAGCAUAACUUUUUACUGGCACAAUGUCCUUGUAUUGAUGAUGCUGAAAGGGUUUGUGCCUCUCCUAUGAGCCAAGAUUAUUUGGCCCCUGCCUUUAGGAGUUCCCUCCCCCUGCCCCUGAUAGAAUGAGACAAAGCUUAACCUAUGCAAAGAGGCUGUCUCUUUUCACUGCCUUUGAUGAUUGAUGGUGUUGGUGAUGGCCACCUGUCUGGCUUCAUUCCAUUGCACUUCUGGCUUUCCUAUUCCUGGGUCAUCUGUCACCCUCAGUUGAUACAUACCUGGGCUAGUGAGGCUCUUUUGGUGGCUGGGAACAUUGUUGCUCCCUGCUACUUGGUCUCUCCUGAAUUGUUUUGAGUAGUGAAUCUUCUGGGCUACUCCUUUCCUGCCUGAGCCUCUGAAGUAGUAGUUUCAAGUUUUUGUUUUUUUAAUUUUUGUUUCUCUUGUGUGUGUGUUUGUGUGUGUGUGUGUGUGUGUGUGUGUGUGUGUGUGUGUUGAAUCACUAUUGAUAAUAUUCAUUCCCAGGUAUUUUAUUUUAUAAAUAAACAAGCUUUUAUAACCCCCUUUCCCUUUACAUAGCAUUGUUGUUCUUCCAUGAACAUAUGAUAAUCUCUUAAUUGUUUACUAAUUCUUUCUAUUGUCAUUCUUAUUUGAACAUGAAAGUCAAGAAUAUGCGUUGCUUGCUCCAUUCACUGCUCUGUGGCCACGUUCUAGAGUGGUGCCCAUUGCAUGUCAGGUGCUCAGAAAAUAUGGUUCAAAUUGAUGAAUGAAUGUGUGAACUAAAAGAUCUAAUAUAAUGAUGGCAAUGAGCAUACCCCUAAAAUGGGAGCAGUAUCAGCAGUUAACGUUUGUUGAGUGUUGUAAUUCACCCUUUAAUAUUCAGCAAGUCUGUAUGCCAUAUGCUGUCUUUUAUCCCUUUAAUUUUGUAAUGAAGUGAAAUUGGACUUGGUGUUUAGUGAUUUGAUUCUGUUGUUGUGGGGUCACAACUUAGAAAUGAUGAUAGAGCCAGUGUUUGAUUCUAAUUCAGAAAGCAGUGAUUCUAGACCUACCAGCCCAAAGGAGUCAGUUGACAAUGCUUUGAAUUAAGUUCUGUUUUAAAUUCCCUUCUAUGUUUCCUACACAUCUCUGUGAAACGAUCUCAUUUCAAUGAUCACAGGAGAUGAAUGUUCUUUUACUAUUGUUUUAACUGCAUCGUACAUGUGCUUGUUAUUGUAAACUCAGCAUAGCAAAGAAAACCAUACCUCAUUGUUCUGUGCUAGAAAUAGUUUUCUAUAUUCCUUCAGUUCCAUGUUCAUACUGAGGCUAUAUCAGAUGAGGAAUGGCAACUCCUUUCUUUCCAGGUGUAGGAAGGAGGAUUACAGGCUAUUGUGAGGAAUUAUAAUACGGACCUAUUUUUAUUAGUGGUAAGACCUAAAUGAGCUUCUUGCUCACUGUUUGGGUUAUUUUCAUUCUUGACAGUUCAGUUUGUGUGUAAUUCUCCUCCCCCAAAGAGAGAGAGAGGGAGAGGGAGAGAGAGAGAGAGAGAGAGAGAGAGAGAGAGAGAGAUGCAAAUACAUCAGAACACAAAACCACACAAACUCCGAGUUGUCUACUGGACUCCUCAGAGACAGUACACAUUCUAUGUAGUUUAUAUGUAGCCUAAAGUUCUGUGUACCUUCAAGCAUUGAUUUCUUCCUGGGAGUUCCAAGUUCUAUUAGGAUGUUGGCUCUGGGAGAGUAUAUAGAGUAUCAUUUUUAUCCUGGUGCUAGCACCCAAUAUAAUUCAUUUUCAGAGCAACCAUAUCAUUGUUUUAUGUUUAUAAAAACCAAAGUGUCCAUUGUGGCUAGGCAGUGAUGGCAUACACCAUUAAGCCCAGCACUUGGGAGGCAGAAGCAGGUGGAUCUUUUGAGUUUGAGGCCAGCCUGGUCAACAAAGCAAGUUCCAGGACAGCAAGAACUAUACAAAGAAAACUUGUCUCAAAAUAAAUAAAUCAAUCAAAAUGUCCAUUGUUUGUUUAUGUUAUAAUUAACCAAAAAACUUGUAUUCCUUUUAAAGUAGCUGGCUUUAGUGGCAUGGGCUUUAAUUUUAGCAUUUAGAAGCCAGAAUCAGAGGCCCUUUGAUUAAGAUACUGGGCAUCUAUGACAGGCUCAGGAGCUCACUGCCUUUCUUCAAAGAACUGACUGACUCCAGCACCUUCUAUUCUUUUCAACUUCUCAUUUCUCCACGAAUCCCAGACUGUAAAAUAAUUCUAUUCUACAUAACCUAUGUGAACAUAUGUUCUUUCUCUGUGUUCAAACUCCUACCAAUUUCCCUGAGCCAUUAUUCUUUGUUUCUGUUUAGAUGGCGCAAAUGUAUACUUAUUCGUUUAUAAAUUCACCGAGAUCUCAAAGUUCUCUUCAAUAAUUUGAAGUGAUGCAUAUCUAAUGAGUAAAUCACCAACGGCAUAUAAGAUCUUAUUUUAGUGUCUCUCGUUUGACAAAAGUACAUAUUUUUAUUUACUAAAUAUUUCUCCAAAUAUACUUUAUCAGUUUGCUGAGUCUUACCACUAAACAUAUUCUGUCAGUUAUAAAUCAAAUAAGAAAAGAAGCCCAAGUGAUUCAUUGACAUGUCUCUUUCACAAACCACUUUGAGAGCUUUGACAAUGUUUACAUAUUAAAAUUACUUAAGCUGGCUUUAGUGGCAUGGGCUUUAAUUUUAGCAUUUACAAACCAGAAUCAGAGGCAUUUGAAGUUUUGGGACAGCUUGGGCUACUUAACAAGAUCUUGUCUAAAGAAAGGGGCUAGCAGUCUACUCAGUGGUAAAAUGAUAGCAUGUAAAAGGCACAGUUGAUACAUAUCAAGGCUAGUGAGGCCCAGAGCUUCUAGCACCACAAAAACAAAAGAAGCCACUUGAGAGGGCUUGAAUAAAUGACCAAUGCCCAGGCCCGACCAUAGAUCUCGAGAAUCAGAAUGUCAGUCCAAGUGCAACUAAGAGUGCAGACCACUAAUAGAUCAGAUUUUCAAUAUGCCCUAUGCUCAAAAUUAUACGAUAUAUGACCAUGAUUGAUUAUGAAUUCCUGAUCAAGAAAGAUAGAAUGCAAAUACUUCGGCUUUUUGUCUAGUAAAGGGCCUGACUUAUUGUAGGUCCUAAACAAAGAGUUAAGAGAUGUUAUAAAUAAUUUCACUUACAUUCAUUACUUUCUGUCCCUGCAAGAAAUACCAGUGUACUUUCAACUUAUGUCAUUCAGAACUCCUAACACCUGAGACCCAAAUGUUAAAUCACAUCUUCUUGGAAAUUAUGAAGAGCCUUUGGAAAUCUUCCAGUUUCUUCUGGGGCAACAGAUAAUUGCCAUCAUCAUCAACUCUGCAACUCAGAAUCCUGGGAGGCUGGAAAGAAGAUUUUAUCCUUCCUCAUAGAACACACACAACCAAGUACAAAACUCCCAUUUAAUGUGUUUUUGCUGGUUUUCCUUAAAAUGUUGCUUCACAAGUCUAAAAGUACCCAAUUUCUCUAGUUUCUCCCUAUGAAUUUGGAGGAACAUUGAAUGUAUUAACUCUUACUUCCCAAUUAACACUUAUAGAAUCCCUAUCUCUCAGGGUCCACUUCUAUGUCAUUGUCACAUACUGUAUACUAACUAGUCCUUUGUCUCCAGUAAAGUAGUACAGUAAAUUGCCCCCUUCUUCACUUGCCACUCUCAUGUACCCUACUCCUUGAAUUUAGUUGCCUUCUAUUCAAACUAAGUGUAUACCUUUGUUAAAGCUUCCAAGACUGCUGCCUCUUUCAGUUCUACUUUGACUACAGUAGUUGUGAUUUUCCUUCUGCUCUUUAAAUAACAUGUUAGCAUGGCAAAGCUGUCUCAGUUUCUAACAACCCCAUCAUCACUUAAAAGAUGCUACUUCACUUAUCUCAGACAAGAAACCUGAGCUUUAAUCUGCAUUCAUACAAACAAUCUUGUUUUCCUUCAUUUCCUUUAAAUACUUUUAUUUGUCAGACUUCUACAGUUUCAUUAUAAUGGGUCUGGGCAUGGAUUUGCUUUGAUUUAUCUUUCCAGGAGCUUAGUGUGUUUAUUAGAUCUCAAGAUUUGUAUCUUCCUUAAAUCUUUUAAAAAUAUUGUCAUUAUAUCUUUGAAGGGUUUAAUACAUCCAUUCAAUUUUUAAAAAUCUCUUUAAAAAAUAAAUCCUGUUAGACUUUACUUUGUAUGUACAUGUCUAUAAACCUUACUUUUAUAAUUCCCAUAUGUUUACCUGUCUGUACUGCAGUCUGUUUAUUUAUUCUCAAAAAGCUUCCAAUUUACUGACUCUUCAAAUCUGCAUGGAUUCAGGAAAUCGGGAACCUUUAAUAAUUCAAUUUCCAGGAAUCUUAACAUCUUCAAACUAACUGGAAAUUUGCUUGGAGGAUGGAAUUCAGUCAUACCACCAUUAUUCUGUGAUAGAAAGAUCCUUUGCUAUUUUUCCUGAUAUUAAAUGUCUCAUAUCUAUUGGAGGAAUGGAUGAACCAAUUCCUCUGCAUAAGAAACUUAUGUCAAGUAAAGAAAUGUGGCAAACCUGAUUUCUGACUGUAUGGAACACAGAGUUUGUAUGCUGCUUAUGUAAAAUAUUGACUUCCUGAUGGGCCAUGAGUCAAAGGAGGCUUCUUGGGGGACCAGGGCAUGAAGAUGUAAGGGAAAAACUGUGUUUCCUUUGGCUCAAGGAAGUCACAAGAGCCUGGUCUCCCCAUCCCAGUGCAUCCCAAAAGCAUGUCAGCUGUGCUUUUAGCGCAGUAAGAUCUCCACUCUUCUGUGUAGGAUUUCUGGUAACAGGAUAGCCCAAAGGUCCCUGCAUACAAGAAUGCUCUCUGUAUUUUAAUUAAAUCAAUGCAUUUAUAUCCAGUACUAAAUACUAAAAAUAGAGAGGGGGGAGAGAAGAAUCAUCACUUUAAAAAAUAGAAGCUGGUCUAGCAUACCUUUCUUUGCAUAUUUAUUGACUGUUUAUGGGAAGCAUGCUGUGUAACACCACAGUGCCCAAGAUAGACUUUGUAUGUGCUUGUAUCUUGGAGGAGGCUGUGGUAAGAUAUUUGGAGUUUCUUCUAAGCAGUCUAGGGAAAUGCACAAUUGGGGCAUAUGUUAGUCAAUAUACCUCAGUUUUAAAGGGAUAAUCUGGUGAGUGGAUACUCAUGUUGAGUAGAAAAGAAUGGAAAGAAAAAAAAUACAAGUGGAAAGUCAAACUGGAAACCUACUGGCGGAGUCCAGCAGAAGAAUUGUAGUAACUUGGACAGGUAAAAUUGCAUGUGUAUUCAGAGUAGUAGGAUUUAGGACCAAAAUUGAAAGCAGAACAAACAGAAGCUGCAGAUGGAGUAUCUGAAGUUCAGCAUAUGGAGAGAAGAAAACAAUCAGCUGCAUUCCUAGGUGUUCUGUUCUCUGAGGUGGGGAGAUGAACAGGAGGGACACAAGUGCAGAAACAAGGAUCAAGAAUUGUAGUUACUUUUCUAUUGAUGUGAUAAAACACUAUGACAAGGCAACAUGUAGGGAAUCAAAAAAGAGCUUAUUUGGUUUUACAGUCCCAGAAAUAUAAGAGUCCAUCAUGGCAAGGAGUCAUGGAAGCAAGUAGCAGAUAUGGUAACAGGAAGUACUGUGUGCUCACAUUUUAAACCACAAGCAGGAAACAAAGUAAACAGGGAGUGGCACAGUCUUGAAAACAUCGAAGCUUGCCCCCAAGUGACAUCGUUCCUCGAGCAAGUCUACACUUCCUAAAUCUACCCAAGCAAUGUCACCAACUAGAGACCAAAUAUUUAAUUAAAUAUGUGAGCCUAUAGGUGACUUUAUAUUUUAAACAACCAAGGGAUAAAGGCCACAUAUUGGAAAUAUUGUAUAUGGACUUGUUCUUAAGACAUUAGACACUCCUGUAUACAAACUUGAGUUAGUGCAGAUUUGAAAAUUAGUAUGUAGUGUGAUCUUCUGGUAGCAUUUAAAAUGUGGUUUAGAUUCCAAUGAAAGACCUGCCCAUAAGAGAGAUAUAUAGGGAAUAUUGUGUUAAAUCACAAUCUAUUAUCAGUGAAUUAAAAGAACCAGCUCUCAUCCCAGACCUGACAGAACAUGUGGUCAGUUAACAUUUAAAUUAGCAUUCUUAUUUCUUUUUCCCAUUUUCUUUCUCUAAAAUGUAGAUCAUUCUUUAUUCAUAGAGGCAAGGUAUAUAAAAAAAACAUGCUAACCCACAUGUGGAUUUGACACAUUCAUUCACAGAUUACAAUCAAGUCAGAAAGUCACUUAAGGAUCUUUCGUACCUUCCUGGUUCAUAAUUCCAAAUUAUAGGCAGUUUUCUGCAAGAAGCAUGUAGAAAUUACUUUGAGUUAACUUGGAAGAUUCUUUGGUGAUAUCCAAGUGUUGGUUGGCCAGAUCAUUUUUGUCUUAAUUUAUGUUUGUAAUUUAGAAAUUUGUUUCCCACUGCUUUGUGGCUUGAGAUUCAGGGUUUUUUUUUUUUCCUUCUGAGUAUAAGUCACUUUGGGGCAUUCAGCUUGUUUUUCAUGAAAACUCCCCAAGUUUUCCUAAUGUGCCACCCUUGACAGUUUCUUCCCCACAACUGAGAGAAUCUUAGUAAUGUCACUGUUUUUUUGUUUUGUUUUGUUUUGUUUUGUUUUGUUUUGUUUUGUUUGUACUAAAGAAAGAGAUAAGAAGAAGACCUUUCCCAGACUUGGAAGGAUGCUCUGUGGGACAUGAAUGUAGGGGCGAGCCUGGGGAGGGUGCUCUGAUGUAAUGAUCAGUGGCAUUGUAAUCUGCCUAAAAAUCGUGACAUUGAAAAAUGUAUUUAAACAUAGGAUUCUAUGUCCUCAUGUUUCUCCUACUCACAUAUAUCAACUCUAGUCUAUAGUUAGUAAAUGCUCAUUUUCUUGACAUUCUGAUAACACCCAGCCUAACCCCAUAAGCCUGUACCUUUACUUCACCUCUUCUACACCCUUCUAAUAUUCAAGAUGCAGAAACACUCAACUUAGUAUUGAAUACACGAAAUAAAGAUAAAAGAACCUGAAACAAUGUUUCACAUCUGCCAACCUGACAGGUGGAAUUGGAGCAGAGGAGAUGCUAGUCCCACCAGCAGAAAAAUACAAGCUAAAAUAAAGUUUCCUCAAGGAGAGGACUGGCUACAACAGUUUUAAUGUGACUAUCUCCUCUGAGCCCUUGUGAGAAGCCUGAGAGAAUAAGUGAGAAGAGGUGACUAUAAACACUCAGCAGCUUUUCUUCCUCACACUGCUAGUGGAAUACCAAACACAGGAUGCAGGCUCUCUCCUUUCCAUCUAUGAAAUUGCUCUGAUAUCUUAUAAAGAUGUUAAGAGAAAUGAUUUCCAUUCUUUUCUUCUUACAAAUCUCCCCUUCUUCAGAAGACCUGAAGUAGUUAACCAUCUCUUAGCACCUUUGGAUUCAUAUCUAAUAAGAGUAGCUAUGGAUGCUUCAGCACGGUAAGAAAAGGCCCAUUCAACAGGGUUUUAGAUGCAUUAAGUAGAAGUAAUAUAGUUCCUGUGCUUCUCCCUCAAAUAACUGAGACAUAAAGUGGGUGGGGUGCUGGACCUGCCACAGUUCUUUAGUGUCUGAGAAGUAAACCAUUUACACCUACAGAGCAAUGUUCCUGGGUUGCUCCCUAGUAGAUGUUUACCAGUGUUCUCUUAGUUUUGACCUUGUGCUAGUUGCUGAUGACAAAAAAGUGAGUCAUAUAGGUGGUACUUGCCCUCAAACAAUGUACAGUGUUUAGGCAGUUACCUAGUAGGUGUGUGCAGCACAGAUUCUCCCAUGCUUUCCUUUGCUUAUUUCAUCUCUACUAGAGGAUGUCACUGUGUGAACUUAUCACUAUUGGAAGGAGGGUAUUUAAACAAAAGGACAAAUAUGCCUCUUGUUGAAUUUGAGAAACUUGCUGGUAUCCUGGUGAUUGAUUUCAGAGGCAGUGGGUGCUAUAUCUGAAUUUUGUUCACAUAGUGUAAUUUGUCCACAGUGCCCCUGAAAUCCUGACUGGGGUACCCUAAUCUGUCAUGCAUUUGGAUAAGUCCUCAUCUAAGGAAAAAAAGACAUGGACUUUGGGUUCAUUUGUCACAGAGAGAAAAUCCCUAUAAUUCUGUAUCUAGACUAGUGCCCUAAUGCUGAAAUGCAUUUACCUGACAAAUUGUCAUGGCUGAUCUUAUGACAUGGUGUGAGACCUACUUAUCACUAGUAGUUGGUAUAUCUGGACAGGGAACUCUUUGUGCCCAAACCUGCCUAAUGAACAGAUGUGUUCAGUAUCAAAUGGCCUCUCAAAGUCUCCCAACCCCAAGAUAUUAUAAAUGAUGCUAAAACAGAAGACAAAGAUGUAACAGUUGUACACCAUCUGUUGUAACUGCCUGUUGCUCUGCUGUUUCACUACUGACUUUCCUCUGAAGAUUUCCAAUAACUGUGCCCAAUAUUGUGUGACUAUAGGGCUUAUUCUCAAGUUGUUCACUGUAGUUAUUGAUCACUUGAGUAUGGCAUGUCUUAGCCUUGAGAUCUAUGUACAUUAGUCAACUGAGCCAGACUGAAACCUCCUUGUGGAACUCUGCAUUGGCUCAUGGAUCUAAACACUCACUCUCAACCGCAUUAUCAGCUUAGUUUUAAACAGUUCCAUAGAUGCUGCUAUAGUACGGGUGUCCUAGCAGGGAAAGCUACAUGGAGCAUCAUCCAGAAAGUGAUAUCAGAGGAAGAUCUGAGAAGGCAUGCCAGGCAGACUAAAUAAAAUGUAAAAGUACCAGCUGUAGAAGAGCAAAGGCUUAGCAAAUUUGAACAUCCUAGUUACAUUCCAGCAGCUGAAGAGUAGCCAGGUCAAUCUACUUAUGUGUCUAAGUCCAAAGUCUCUGGUUUUGCCCAAAUUCAACCUGAUGAAUGUGAAGCUACAGAAUUUGGAUAUAUCUCAUUUAAAAGUGGGAUGCCAUUUAAAGUUUAAGGAGAAAACUUCUUUGGUGAAAGCAGUAGUUUAGGAAGAGGAAUUUAGACACCAUAUGCAGGCUGGCUAACAAAGUGAAAGGCUGGAAAUAGAGAAUACUUGGUACAUGCUGCACAAGCAUAAAUAUAAGUGAUUUAGAAGUCAUUGAUGUAUGUUAAGACAUUGAUAUUUAAUUCUCCUACUAUAAUAUUUAUCACUGGUAUAUCUUUUACUGACAUAAUAAUUAUAUAUUUAUGUGUUCUAAGAUGGUGUUUUGAUAUAUGUAUCACUGUGUAAUGAUUAAUAGUAAGCUGAUUAAUACAGCUCUCAUUUCAUAUUCUCAUUAUUUUUGUGGUAAAAAAUUUGAAAUUUAUUCUCAUAGUUAUUUUAAAUAUAAAAUAUCUUAUUUACCAUAACUACAACAUUGUAGAGAAGAACACCAUCCUCUGUUCCAUCUGUACCUUUAUAACUGAUAUCGUCAUCUCUCUUAGUUUACCUCUGGGAACACUGUUCUUUUUCCCUACUUCUAUGUUUGAUGAUUUUUGAUUCUAUAUAUAAGUGAAAUCAUGUAGUAUUUAUCUUCCUGUAGCUCACUUAGUUUGCAUAGCAGAAUAUACUCCAAGUUCAUCCACGUGGUCUUCACGAAUAAGAUUUCCUUGUUUUUAACGGCUGAAUCAUAUUCUAGAAUUUCUAUGCACCAUGGCUUAUUUAUUUAUUUAUUUAUUUAUUUAUUUAUUUAUUAAUAAAAAUGUAGUUUGAUAAUAUAGGGUUGAUCCAGUGUUGCAAAUCACACUACAGUAAACAUAGGAGUAUGGAUAUCUCAAUGUAGUGAUUUCAUUUCCUUUGGAUAUAUACGUAUAAUGGGAUUAUUAGCUUGUAUGAUAGUUCUUAUUUUAUUUUGUGAUGGAUCUCCACACUGUAUUCUAUAAUUGCUGUAUGAGUUAACAUUUCUACAAAUUAUGGACAAUAAAGAUUUCCCUUUUCUCCACAUCUGUGCCAGCACCACCUUCUUUUAUUUUUAUAAUAGCCAUGACAAGUAUGCAAUGAUACCUCAAGGUACCUUUGAAUUCCUUGUCUUUAAUGAUAACUAGAUUGUCUUAAUUUGCUUUGUACUAUGGUAAAAAGACUGACAACCUAGGGGAGGAGACAGUUUAUACUUUACCUACCAGUUCUAUUAAAUUAUCAUGGAAAGCCAAGUGAUGGACUGAUGUAAAGACCAUGGAGUGAUGAUGCUUACAAGCUUGCUCUUCCUGACUUGAUUGGCUACUUUAAAAAUUUAUCCCAGGCCCACCUGCCUAAAGAAUGGCACCAUCCACGUGGGUUAGGCUCUCCUACUUAAGAAAAUAUCCUACAUACAUGCCUUACAGGUUUGUCUUAUGGUCAGUUGAACUACCCACUUCUUAGGUGAUCCUAAUCUAUGUCAAGUUGACAAAAUCUAAGCAGUUCACUGACAUUUGCCAACUUUUUGGUAUACCUGUUGACCAUUAGUUUUGAAAAAAA
This is a long non-coding RNA of Mus musculus (house mouse), 21745 nucleotides long. RefSeq annotates it as predicted gene, 39518. The record is from RefSeq and is a predicted model, not a curated record. Lineage: Eukaryota; Metazoa; Chordata; Mammalia; Rodentia; Muridae. The transcript is spliced from 2 exons.